Long non-coding RNA from Thalassophryne amazonica, 171 nucleotides. RefSeq lists it as uncharacterized. Lineage: Eukaryota; Metazoa; Chordata; Actinopteri; Batrachoidiformes; Batrachoididae. The transcript is spliced from 3 exons. The record is from RefSeq and is a predicted model, not a curated record.
UAGUGGUGCAGCGUAGCUAAAAUUUCCAUAAAAAUUGUUAAUUUUGUGAUAAACGCAUGGAAUUUGGCACACAUAUUCUAAAUUAACUAAUGUUUAUUUUGAGAUAUGGAACCAUCCUGGACCUGACCUAUAAUGAGCUACAGGGGUCAAAAUGUAAACAUGGUCCACUCA